CCUACGGGAGGCAGCAGUGGGGAAUAUUGCACAAUGGGGGAAACCCUGAUGCAGCGACGCCGCGUGAGUGAAGAAGUAUUUCGGUAUGUAAAGCUCUAUCAGCAGGGAAGAAAAUGACGGUACCUGAUUAAGAAGCCCCGGCUAACUACGUGCCAGCAGCCGCGGUUAUACGUAGGGGGCAAGCGUUAUCCGGAUUUACUGGGGGUAAAGGGAGCGUAGACGGCAGCACAAGUCUGGAGUGAAAUGCCGGGGCUUAACCCCGGAAGUGCUUUGGAAACUGUGCAGCUAGAGUGCAGGAGAGGUAAGUGGAAGUCCUGGUGUAGCGGUGAAAUGCGUAGAUAUUAGGAGGAACACCAGUGGCGAAGGCGGCUUACUGGACUGUAACUGACGUUGAGGCUCGAAAGCGUGGGGAGCAAACAGGAUUAGAUACCCUAGUAGUC
This 440-nucleotide ribosomal RNA is filed under the name uncultured bacterium. Its description in RNAcentral is "partial 16S ribosomal RNA". It matches the Rfam family "Bacterial small subunit ribosomal RNA", at positions 338 to 795 of the family's 1533-position model. The record is from RNAcentral.